RNAcentral lists this transfer RNA (72 nucleotides) under Phrynosoma platyrhinos (Desert horned lizard). RNAcentral describes it as "tRNA-OTHER". The record is from RNAcentral. Lineage: Eukaryota; Metazoa; Chordata; Lepidosauria; Squamata; Phrynosomatidae.
GCCAGUGUGGUGUAGUGGUUUGAGCAUUGGACUAUGACUCUAGAAACCAGGGUUUGAAUCCCUACUUGGCCA